This is a long non-coding RNA of Canis lupus familiaris (dog), 5277 nucleotides long. RefSeq lists it as uncharacterized. The transcript has 6 exons. Lineage: Eukaryota; Metazoa; Chordata; Mammalia; Carnivora; Canidae. The record is from RefSeq and is a predicted model, not a curated record.
UAGUUUACCCCAUAUCUCUUCUCUACAGCAGUGUUGGUGACUUCCUCCCAUUCACUUUUCUUCCUGCUUGCAUCACGUUUGUCAAUGAUAUAAUGGGUGAUUUCACUGCCACCGUUGUCUAGAGGGGCAUCCCAUGUCAAGUAGCAGGAUUCAGCUUUAAUGUCAGUAACAGCAAGAUUUCUUGGUGGUGAUGGACGAUCUGGAAAGGAACCAAGAGAGGAGAAUGGGAAUGAGAAGACAAUUCUUAAAGAAUUCUUAAAAUUCUCUUAAAUGAGAAGACAAUUCAAAAGAAGACCUUGGGCUUCAUUUUGAUCUGAGAAAACAGGUCCCUUACCAUAUACUUCCACAUGAACGUUUCGGAACACUGAGCCCAGGCGAUUGGAAGCAGUAACCGUCUAUAGAUCAUUGGACUGUUGGGAGUUUGAAGCCAUAAGGCUCAAUAAAUAAAUGACAGAGCUAGAAGCAAACAAUGAAAACCGCUUUUACCUAGUGGAUCAACUGCAAGAAUUGGUCCUAUUUCAACAGGAGGGCCACAGCCAAACUUGUUCUUGGCAAUCACCCGGAACAUAUACUCUUGUCCCUCAAGGAGACCUGUGAUAUCACAUUUAGAUCGCUCGGUCUCUAUUGGUUGUCUCCAGUGUACUGACGGACCUUGAUCAUCUUCUCCGUGCAGCGUGACCAUUCAUUUGUGCCAACCAGCUGCUUAUCAACAUAGUAGCCAACAAUUUCCCCACCACCAUUGAAAGCUGGGGGUUCCCAUUCUAGAUCAAUAGUUGUAGAGCUUGUGUCAGUGACUCUUGGGACAGGUGGCCCAGGUGGAGCUAGAAUAAAUGUGGAUACACAAAUCAAAACUCACUGAAGAUUUUAAAAUGAACAAUACCUUACUCUAUCCACCUUAUUUCCAAAAUGCAUCGCCUAUAAUAUGGAAAUUACUUACAGAUUGGAUCACGUGCUGUUUUGGGAUCUGAAGGAGGACUGAACUUUCCAGGUCCAGCUGCAUUUUCGGCACAUACUCUGAAGACAUAGGCAACCCAUCGAUCAGAACCACGUGGACAUUUUUCAACUAUAUAGCCUUUGAUGCGUGAACCACCAUCAUAUUUAGGUGGAUCCCAUGUUAGGAAGAUACUGUUGGCUGUUCGAUCUCUCCAUUUAACAUUCUCUGGUGGGUCAGGUUCAAGUGUCUUAUCAUCCCUCUUCCACUGGACUUCGAAGUUCUCCUUUGAUAUGGAGCAGACGAAUUCAGCCUUUUCUCCUUCAAGUACUUCAAGGUUUUGAGGCUUUGAGAUAAAUUCGGCAGCAAGUUCUGGAAAGAAGCAGUUGCAUGGUAUUAAAAACUUCAGCAUUUGUACCGUAAGUGCAUCAAGUAUGAAUUCUGAAAAUAUUAUUUAUUAUAGUUUCCAUACCAUGUACUUUGACUUUGCCAUCAGUUCGAGAACUUGGGAGUCGGCAGUUGUAGUUGCCAGCAUCCUCAAGAUGAGCAUUCUGAAUGAUCAGGAUUCUCUUUCGCCCAUCGGUAAGUAUUUCAUAUCUUCCUGUUUCGAUUAUCUCCUCAUCUCCUUUGUACCAAGUCACUUCUGCUCCAGGCUUGGAGACUUCACAAACCAGUUUUAUGGUGUCUGUUUCACUAACUUCAAUGUUGCCAAGAUUUUUUGUAAAGACAGCUUCUUCUGCUGCAAGAAUAGUAACAAGAACAACAUUGAGUCAAACUGAAAAAAAAAAUUUUUUUUCCUGGAACAUAUACUUCUGCAGAGAAAGACUUCACUCUUACCCAGGACGGUGAGCAUGCCAGAAGUUCUUGCUGUCUUUACUUCACAGGAAUAUUCUGCUUCAUCAUCCAGGAGACAUUUGUUGAUGACAAGAAUGCGUACUGCUCCCUUAGAGAUGAUGUCAUAUUUUUUGCCCUUUUUAAUUUCGGCUCCAUCUUUAAACCACUGGACCUAUAUUGAGAUACACAGAUGCUUUAUUAAUUUUCUUAUUGCUCCUUCAUGUAGGUGUCCUUAAGAGGAACUAGGAUCCUGAGUGCUUCUUAAAACUACCACCAGGACUAUGUCAUGAAGAUGAACCAAAGUGGUAAAUACAAGUACAACCUAAACCCCACAGGGCAGGGACAAACUUCUUCAGUUAUUGUUAAGUGAGCUGUUGUGGUUCUGAUAUCAGUUAUUAAAGAUAAUGGGAUCAUGUAAGUUGAGAGCCAUAGAGGGCUUUAGAUAUCAUGCAGACUAAGUCCUUUGUUUUCCCAAUUUGUAAAGGGAGACUCAAAGUUGACUUGCUAUGGUAGUUAAUGAGACAUAUGAAAUUGCAGAUAUUUGUUCUUAGCCUAAGAAAAUAGCAAUUUCAUAUGGCCCAAUCCAAUAAUAUCUAAAUCUCCUGAUUGUGAGUCCAUUGUUCUUCAAGUAGUAGUAAAUGAAUAAUACAACAAAGAAAACGAUGAAAUCAAGUAUAUAUCUCACACCAAAGUAAUAAUCUUUAAUCUAAAGGCAAAGUGAUAAUCAGAGGUAGGUUUGAUUCACUUUCUUUUUUUUCCCCUGUUUUGUCUAGGCCAAAAGUAGACAAUGUAACUGGCAACACAAGAGAGCAACCACACAAGUCACAGACCUUAGCAUUUUCUCGGGAAAUUUCACACUCAAACCGAGCCAUUUCUUUUUCUUUAACUUGAAGAUCAGUGAGUGGUCUUAAGAAUUCCACAUGAGGAGCUGUAAGAGAAGGUCAUCAGAAUUCAAAAUGAGGUUUCUGGCAAUUUACUCUGACAUUACUGUGGUAUAUAUUAAGAAAAAGUCUUUUGCAGGGCUUUUCCAUCUUAGUAGGCUACAGCGGACUUUGAAAGCACUUGGAGCUGCCAUUCAUGUAUGUAUGUUACUUUGCUCUUGUAUUUUGCAUAUCUCUGUAGGUUUCAUAAAAUUAUGUGGAUACUGUAUGUCCAACUGAUUAUAUCUGUAUAUCUAUUACCUAUCAAUCGCUAACAAGGUUUUCCUGAAUGAUGGCUAAAAGAAAAAUUCUCAUUGAUACUUCUUCAGCAUUGAAAGCUGAUAUUGUCAAAGGAAAUACCAGUAGCAAAGAAACAUUAUUUUAAGGCAGGCUAUACAAUCUUUGAGAAAUUAGCAGAAUUCAAUGAUAACGCAGCUUGAAGUGCUAUAACCAGUCUUGCCUAUGGCUAAGAGGCAUGAGUCUACAAUUGAAAUCACACACACUUAACCUUUUUCUUUUCUUUUCUUUUUAAAAUCAGUUUCAAAGAUAUCACACGUGAGUCAGGCAUCUAUUAGUGCAACAAAGCAAUGUGUUCGUAUGGGUGGGUGAUUUUCAGGAUUAAGUCAGCAGAUGCAUAGGAUCAGAGAGCCGCCCCCUUGCCCCUCCUUUUAGGGCUUCUGGUGAGUCCUUCCCAGGAUGAUCAUUCUUGAUCAGUGAAAUUCUGGGACACAAAUGCUGGUCAAUAGGCUUGAAGAUGUGUUCAUUGUGGCUGAGCCUUCUUGGAGUGGUGACAAAGUAGAUGACAAAGGGAUCAAGGAGACCCAAGAAGCUACUCUGUCAUAAGCUAAAAGCAGAGCGACCACAAAGACAAAAGAAUAAAACACAAGAAGCAUGGAAGCACAAUCAAAGCCACUAUUUUGUAGCUGUUGACAGAUGGGAAGCAACUAAACCAAACAGCAGCUAUAGCACAAAAAUACACACUGAUAAAAUGUUAUCACUGGACAAACGAAUGAAAAAAUGAGUUAAUGUGACAUUUAGAAAAAAGAUGUAUUUUUCACCAAAGGAAGAAGUAAUACUAAAAACCAUUAGAGUUCUCUUCAUUCACAGGACUCCAAGAAUCCAGGCUUCGCUCCAUCUUAUUAUCCUUUCUUAUUUUCAGAGAUAGCAUUGUGUAAGCGGGCUUUAUCAUAUUGCAGCAGACUUUAGCGUGAUCCUAUUCGAACUGAAAUUUCAUGCUCAUUUUCUAGUUGUUCCUGACACCUGAGAAUUCAUUUCUUUCCAAGUGGAAAUUGCUUUCUUUCCUUCUUUCCUUUUUUUUUUUUUUUUAAAUAAAAAUGAAAUCAUGACUCCUUUCUUGUCUCUUUCAUCCAAUUUGUCCUUAUCUGUCAGGAUAUUCCUAUAGUAGGGUUACACCCAUAGACAAAGAGUACCUCUGCCCACUAGUCAGAAACAUGGUAAAAGUGAUCAAUAUGUCCUUAUCAGACCAGAUGGAGUAGAAUGAUUUUUCUUUUCUUUCCUUUUUUUUUUAAACACAAAAGAUCAGGUUAUGUCAGUAUUGAUACUAUAAGUUGCUAAGAGAUGCAGUUAGGCCAAGAAGGGCAUGCAAAACGUGGCAGGGCUUUUUUUGUUGUUGUUGUUAUCAAAGAGUUGCAAAUGAAAAGUCCUGUGUAAGAAGAAUACUUACGCACGACGUUCAGGUUACAGGAAGUCUUAAAAUCCUUAGCAUCACAAGUGUAUGUUUUAAUAUCCUCUGGAGUACAGCCGUGUAUAAUAAGUUUUCUGACCCUGCCAUCAGCAACAAUUUCAUACUUCUUGCUUUUGAGAAUUUCUGUCCCAUUUUUGAACCAUUUCACCUUAGCAUUUUCUCUGGAUACUUCACACUCCAAUACUGCAGUGGCUUCUUCUUCGACCGUCUGGUCCUCAAGGGGCUUAGUGAACUCAACGGGGGGUUCUGAAAGAAUCACACUAAUUAGCCAAGGUAUUUUUCCUUUCCUUCUCCAAGACUUUGAGCACCUCCUCAACUUUCUUCUGAUAUCGCCAGGCCUUUUUCUGUUUUUAAAUUUCAUUUGUAAGUUUUGAUUCCACUUGGAUGCUUUCCUCUAAUAAUGAUGUUUCAUCAUUAUUUAUACAUACAGAGGAAAGGUGUUGUUUUAAAAAAUAUGAAACAUCAAGGACAAAGUAGCCAAGUCUUGGUUAAUAAAGUGGUAGAUACCCAGUUUGAUAAUAAUUCUUCCUCCAGCCAUUUAUUGAAAGCCAACAUAAAUGGUGGGGAUAGAAAGAGGAAGUAAGACAUAUUUGAGUCCAUUUUGACUCUCUCUCUCUCUCUUUUAAAUAGUCUGUGAACUCUUUUGUUAAGGCAAAAAGUAAAAUUUGGAUAUUUGGUGGAUUUUAAUGAUCUAUGGUACUCAUCAUUGAGAGUUGACAUCAUUUCUGAAAUGUCUACAUUGUAUGUGUUUAAAAAUAAACCUUGUAAUCACCUUUCACAAAGAGGUUGGCAUGAGUUUUGAAAUCUUUUGCUCGUAGUUGGACUUCUCCAGCAUCUUCUAAUUUUACAUCCCUCAGUGUAAGGGUAUGAACUUUUCCUUCUGAACG